This 433-nucleotide ribosomal RNA is filed under the name uncultured bacterium. Its description in RNAcentral is "partial 16S ribosomal RNA". It matches the Rfam family "Bacterial small subunit ribosomal RNA", at positions 29 to 507 of the family's 1533-position model. The record is from RNAcentral.
AAUGAACGCUGGCGGCAGGCCUAACACAUGCAAGUCGAGCGAGCAUUUCGGUGCUAGCGGCGGACGGGUGAGUAACGCGUGGGAACGUGCCCUUUUCUGCGGAAUAGUCCUGGGAAACUGGGGGUAAUACCGCAUACGCCCUUGUGGGGAAAGAUUUAUCGGAGAAGGAUCGGCCCGCGUUGGAUUAGGUAGUUGGUGGGGUAAUGGCCCACCAAGCCGACGAUCCAUAGCUGGUUUGAGAGGAUGAUCAGCCACACUGGGACUGAGACACGGCCCAGACUCCUACGGGAAGCAGCAGUGGGGAAUCUUAGACAAUGGGGGCAACCCUGAUCUAGCCAUGCCGCGUGAGUGAUGAAGGCCUUAGGGUUGUAAAGCUCUUUCAGCUGGGAAGAUAAUGACGGUACCAGCAGAAGAAGCCCCGGCUAACUCCGUG